AGUUUUCUCAUCCGACAUCAAUUGCAAAAAGUAGUUUUGCGGUAUAUUUUGAAGCAGACUGCGUUCAAGCCAUUUUCUCACUUAAAUGAACCCGAUGCAAGUAUCAUCCUUUCUUGGAUCGACACUUAGCUUAGAUGCACAAUAUGACAACGUUAUAUUUAUUCUAAAUGUCUCAAAAUUAUUCUUUAGCUCAAUUUUUACUCAUUUCUUUGUCCAUGGAUCAUUUUAAUUUGCUCAAAGUGAUCCAAAUUUAUAUUUUAUUAUUUCAUAAAGUUCCUCAUAAUUUUUAGGAUAAUGAUAUAUCAUUCUUAUAUUUUUCUCUUAACUUUAUGAGCUAAAUUCUACGGUAUUUAAACCAAUUUGUACCGUUAAAUAUUGUAUUAUAAUGUAUAUAUAUAUAUAUAUAUAUAUAUAUAUAUAACUCACGCACACCCUCCCUCACAAUUCUAAUCCUCACGUUCACUCUCUGUUUCUUUCCCUCAUCACCGACUAUACACACACAAAAUGAAUAUACUAAAUUAUCUCCACUAUUUCUUCUUGCUUUAAGUACUGAAGAAAACAAUCAAACUUUUCUUUCAAACUCUUGUCACAAAAUCAAAUUCCAUUCUCACUCUCUUUAACGUGUCUCUGUGGCAGCACCUACAAAUUUCUCCAUCAAAUUUCUAUUCCAUAUUACUUUCUCCUACCACUAGUGCAAGAGCCUUGUCUAUUUAAUUAAAUCAAGAAGAAUCAGAUAUCAUCUUUUUCACAAUUGAAGAAGAGGGGUCGUGAACAAGUAGGAAUUGGAGAUUUCGGCACCGUUCCGUCGUUUCUUGACCGAUCGUCGCACUGAUAGUUGCUACGCGUAGACCUCGAGGUGAUUUUGAGGAAUUCCCAGAGGAGCAAGCCUUUGAUUGUGAACAAGUGUUAGGAGAUCGUCCUGGAGAAUCUACAGAUGUCUUUGGCGGACUGGUUCACGACGGUUCACCCUUCGGGGGAAACUAGAGUUGGGAUGCUGGAACAGGAGCGCAUCGCGAUAGCGAGCGGAGGACGGAUGGUGUACAUAGACUAGGUCGUUCUGGAUUUCGAAUUCGGACGACGAUCAUGCCAGCAUGUAGGAUUGAGUGUUAGUGUGAGCUCCUCGAGAUGGGAUUAGUGUAGGAGUAGAGUCUUAGCUCUGAACAUUAUUUGUUUCAUUCGGGACAGGGUAGUUUCCCACCUAUAGCUUUUUGUGUGGUUUCUUUACGGGAAUCACAGAGAGUUGGUUGGACUUAGGAGGUCUUGUUUCAGGCCGAUGGGCCAGCUUAUUCUCAGUUUUGAGGGAUAGUGUUGCGGACACUUACCUUUAGAUUUGGUUUGUACAUUUUGCCUUCGGGCGCUACACUUUUCUUUCCGUCACUGGAGGUUACUCGUGACGAGGUUGUUACUUACAGCGGGGGCUGUUUAUAUAUUGU
Lotus japonicus is the source of this 1433-nucleotide long non-coding RNA. RefSeq lists it as uncharacterized. Lineage: Eukaryota; Viridiplantae; Streptophyta; Magnoliopsida; Fabales; Fabaceae. The record is from RefSeq and is a predicted model, not a curated record. The transcript has 3 exons.